Molecule: ribosomal RNA, 2931 nt
Filed under: Escherichia coli
Lineage: Bacteria; Pseudomonadati; Pseudomonadota; Gammaproteobacteria; Enterobacterales; Enterobacteriaceae
Description: 23S ribosomal RNA
Rfam family: Bacterial large subunit ribosomal RNA
Source: RNAcentral
GGGUUGUGAGGUUAAGCGACUAAGCGUACACGGUGGAUGCCCUGGCAGUCAGAGGCGAUGAAGGACGUGCUAAUCUGCGAUAAGCGUCGGUAAGGUGAUAUGAACCGUUAUAACCGGCGAUUUCCGAAUGGGGAAACCCAGUGUGAUUCGUCACACUAUCAUUAACUGAAUCCAUAGGUUAAUGAGGCGAACCGGGGGAACUGAAACAUCUAAGUACCCCGAGGAAAAGAAAUCAACCGAGAUUCCCCCAGUAGCGGCGAGCGAACGGGGAGCAGCCCAGAGCCUGAAUCAGUGUGUGUGUUAGUGGAAGCGUCUGGAAAGGCGCGCGAUACAGGGUGACAGCCCCGUACACAAAAAUGCACAUACUGUGAGCUCGAUGAGUAGGGCGGGACACGUGGUAUCCUGUCUGAAUAUGGGGGGACCAUCCUCCAAGGCUAAAUACUCCUGACUGACCGAUAGUGAACCAGUACCGUGAGGGAAAGGCGAAAAGAACCCCGGCGAGGGGAGUGAAAAAGAACCUGAAACCGUGUACGUACAAGCAGUGGGAGCCUCUUAAUGGGGUGACUGCGUACCUUUUGUAUAAUGGGUCAGCGACUUAUAUUCUGUAGCAAGGUUAACCGAAUAGGGGAGCCGAAGGGAAACCGAGUCUUAACUGGGCGUUAAGUUGCAGGGUAUAGACCCGAAACCCGGUGAUCUAGCCAUGGGCAGGUUGAAGGUUGGGUAACACUAACUGGAGGACCGAACCGACUAAUGUUGAAAAAUUAGCGGAUGACUUGUGGCUGGGGGUGAAAGGCCAAUCAAACCGGGAGAUAGCUGGUUCUCCCCGAAAGCUAUUUAGGUAGCGCCUCGUGAAUUCAUCUCCGGGGGUAGAGCACUGUUUCGGCAAGGGGGUCAUCCCGACUUACCAACCCGAUGCAAACUGCGAAUACCGGAGAAUGUUAUCACGGGAGACACACGGCGGGUGCUAACGUCCGUCGUGAAGAGGGAAACAACCCUGACCGCCAGCUAAGGUCCCAAAGUCAUGGUUAAGUGGGAAACGAUGUGGGAAGGCCCAGACAGCCAGGAUGUUGGCUUAGAAGCAGCCAUCAUUUAAAGAAAGCGUAAUAGCUCACUGGUCGAGUCGGCCUGCGCGGAAGAUGUAACGGGGCUAAACCAUGCACCGAAGCUGCGGCAGCGACGCUUAUGCGUUGUUGGGUAGGGGAGCGUUCUGUAAGCCUGCGAAGGUGUGCUGUGAGGCAUGCUGGAGGUAUCAGAAGUGCGAAUGCUGACAUAAGUAACGAUAAAGCGGGUGAAAAGCCCGCUCGCCGGAAGACCAAGGGUUCCUGUCCAACGUUAAUCGGGGCAGGGUGAGUCGACCCCUAAGGCGAGGCCGAAAGGCGUAGUCGAUGGGAAACAGGUUAAUAUUCCUGUACUUGGUGUUACUGCGAAGGGGGGACGGAGAAGGCUAUGUUGGCCGGGCGACGGUUGUCCCGGUUUAAGCGUGUAGGCUGGUUUUCCAGGCAAAUCCGGAAAAUCAAGGCUGAGGCGUGAUGACGAGGCACUACGGUGCUGAAGCAACAAAUGCCCUGCUUCCAGGAAAAGCCUCUAAGCAUCAGGUAACAUCAAAUCGUACCCCAAACCGACACAGGUGGUCAGGUAGAGAAUACCAAGGCGCUUGAGAGAACUCGGGUGAAGGAACUAGGCAAAAUGGUGCCGUAACUUCGGGAGAAGGCACGCUGAUAUGUAGGUGAAGUCCCUUGCGGAUGGAGCUGAAAUCAGUCGAAGAUACCAGCUGGCUGCAACUGUUUAUUAAAAACACAGCACUGUGCAAACACGAAAGUGGACGUAUACGGUGUGACGCCUGCCCGGUGCCGGAAGGUUAAUUGAUGGGGUUAGCGGUAACGCGAAGCUCUUGAUCGAAGCCCCGGUAAACGGCGGCCGUAACUAUAACGGUCCUAAGGUAGCGAAAUUCCUUGUCGGGUAAGUUCCGACCUGCACGAAUGGCGUAAUGAUGGCCAGGCUGUCUCCACCCGAGACUCAGUGAAAUUGAACUCGCUGUGAAGAUGCAGUGUACCCGCGGCAAGACGGAAAGACCCCGUGAACCUUUACUAUAGCUUGACACUGAACAUUGAGCCUUGAUGUGUAGGAUAGGUGGGAGGCUUUGAAGUGUGGACGCCAGUCUGCAUGGAGCCGACCUUGAAAUACCACCCUUUAAUGUUUGAUGUUCUAACGUUGGCCCCUAAUCGGGGUUGCGGACAGUGUCUGGUGGGUAGUUUGACUGGGGCGGUCUCCUCCUAAAGAGUAACGGAGGAGCACGAAGGUUGGCUAAUCCUGGUCGGACAUCAGGAGGUUAGUGCAAUGGCAUAAGCCAGCUUGACUGCGAGCGUGACGGCGCGAGCAGGUGCGAAAGCAGGUCAUAGUGAUCCGGUGGUUCUGAAUGGAAGGGCCAUCGCUCAACGGAUAAAAGGUACUCCGGGGAUAACAGGCUGAUACCGCCCAAGAGUUCAUAUCGACGGCGGUGUUUGGCACCUCGAUGUCGGCUCAUCACAUCCUGGGGCUGAAGUAGGUCCCAAGGGUAUGGCUGUUCGCCAUUUAAAGUGGUACGCGAGCUGGGUUUAGAACGUCGUGAGACAGUUCGGUCCCUAUCUGCCGUGGGCGCUGGAGAACUGAGGGGGGCUGCUCCUAGUACGAGAGGACCGGAGUGGACGCAUCACUGGUGUUCGGGUUGUCAUGCCAAUGGCACUGCCCGGUAGCUAAAUGCGGAAGAGAUAAGUGCUGAAAGCAUCUAAGCACGAAACUUGCCCCGAGAUGAGUUCUCCCUGACUCCCUGAGAGUCCUGAAGGAACGUUGAAGACGACGACGUUGAUAGGCCGGGUGUGUAAGCGCAGCGAUGCGUUGAGCUAACCGGUACUAAUGAACCGUGAGGCUUAACCUUACAACGCCGAAGCUGUU